Molecule: non-coding RNA, 72 nt
Organism: Parelaphostrongylus tenuis
Lineage: Eukaryota; Metazoa; Nematoda; Chromadorea; Rhabditida; Metastrongylidae
Source: the annotation of a GenBank genome assembly
GUGUCGAUGGUGCAACGGUCAGCAUACGCUUCCGGAAAUAGUGAAAUCUAGGUUCAAAUCCCGGCUGACGCA